Molecule: long non-coding RNA, 451 nt
Filed under: Numida meleagris (helmeted guineafowl)
Lineage: Eukaryota; Metazoa; Chordata; Aves; Galliformes; Numididae
Description: lncRNA (ENSNMEG00000009308.1)
Source: RNAcentral
AAAAAAAGUAUUCAAACAGGAUAUUAACCAUCUAAAUGAAUGUGUAAAAAUCAUAAACAUCAGAAAACAUGGCUUGUACACGGUUUCAUCUCCCAUAGUGCAGCAGUGCUUUGCGGGAGAAGUCCACCUCCUUCCAAAAAGAGAAUAUGGCAUAUUACUAGCAGUGCAAGUGAUCAAAAUGGAAUACAGAGCUGGAGGCUUGAUCAGAUCAGAGAAAGUACAACUUUUGUGAGCAAAGAGAACUUCAUAAGGAUUUUGAAGAAAUUCUCAGUUGUAUCCAAGAGAAGCAUCCAGAUGAGACAAGUGGCUUCACAAUCUCUUCUGUACUUAAUUUGAACAUUCACGUAAGUCCCCUUUUACAAGUCUUGUUUUAAUAGAUAGUAAAAUUGUUUUAGAAAAGUAAUAGAUGUAGAAACUCACUGAAUUUUCACUCUUUUCAGGAGCUCAGGAG